ACUAUCAACAACUUGGAUCUCUUGGCUCAUCACGAUGAAGAACGCAGCGAACCGCAUGAUAUUUUGUGACUUGCAGAUGUGAAUCAUCAAUCUUGAACGCACAUUGCGCGUGGCAUUGUGCCGCACGGAUGGAGGAGCGUGUUCCUCUGGGAUCGCAUUGCUUUCUUGAAAUGGAUUUUAAACUCUCAAUUAUUACGUCAUUUCACCUCCUUCAUCCAGAGAUUACCCGCUGAACUUAAGCAUAUCAAUAAGCGGAGGAAAAGAAACCAACGAAAGUUGCCUCGGUAACGGCGAGUGAAGCGGCAAAAGCUCAAAUUUGAAACCCUCGGGAUUGUAAUUUGAAGAUUUGGCAUUGGAGAAAGCUUAACCCGAUUUGCUUGGAAUGAGUACGUCAUAGGGUGACAACCCCGUCUGGCUAACCGUUCUCCAUGUAUUGCCUUAUCAAGAGUCGAGUUGUUGGAAUGCAGCUCCAAAGUGGGUGGUAAACUCCAUCUAAAAGCUAAAUACUGGUGAGGAGACCGAUAGCGAACAGAGGUACUGUGAAGGAAAGAUUGAAAGAACUUUGAAAGAGGUGAAAUGGUAUGUAGGAAAUUGUUAGGGAAAUGAGGUGGAGAGUGGCCGGGUUUCAGCCGCCCCUCGUGGGCGAUUGUACUGCCGACGCCGAGUCAUCGACCUUGAGGACGAGGGUUACAAAUGGGAGCGCCUUCGGGCGUUCUCUAACCCUCCACUGCCACCGACGACAUAAUCCACCCAUUCCUGCAUCUUGAAACACGGACCAAGGAGUCUAAUGGAUAUGUGAGUGUUAGGGUGGCAAACUGGCCGCGCAAUGAAAGUGAAUGGAUUCGUUCAGAAUCGACCGAACUUGAUUAUUAUGAUUUUGGUAAACAUCCCAUUGGGACCCGAAAGAUGGUGAACUAUGCCUGGAUAGGGUGAAGUCAGAGGAAACUCUGAUGGAGGCUCAUGGCAGUUCUGACGUGCAAAUCGAUCAUGGGAUCUGGGUAUAGGGGCGAAGACUAAUCGAACCAUCUAGUAGCUGGUUCUAUGAAGUUUCCCUCAGGAUAGCAGAAGCUCAUAUCAGUUUAUGAGGUAAAGCGAAUGAUGAUUAAGUAUUGGGGGCGAAAUGCCCUCGGCUUAUUCUCUUUAAAAUAUGUAGAGCCUUGGUUACCAAUCGAACCGUGGCUACGAAUGAAGGAAACUUCUAGUGGGCCAUUUUGGUAAGCAGAGCUGGCGGUGGGAUGAACCGAGCAGUGGGUUAAAAGGUGCCCGGAAUACACGCUCAUCAGACACCACAAAAAGGUGUUAGUUUAUCUAGACAGCCGGACGGUGGCCAUGGAAGUCGGAAUCCAUAAGGAGUGUCACAACUCACCGGCCGAAUGAACUAGCCCUGAAAAUGGAUGGCGCUUAAGCGUGUUACCUAUACUCUACCGGAGGUUUCUCAGUAGGCAGGCGUGAAGUUGUUGUUGAGAAGCGUUGGCCGUGAGGCUGCGUCGAACGGCCUAGUGCAGAUCUUGGUGGUGGCAAAUAUUCAAAUGAGAACUUGAAGACUGAAAGGAAGUGGGGAAGGUUCCCGUGUGAACGGCCAGUUGGACACGGUAGAGUCGAUCCCUAAGGGUGGCAUAACUGUAUCGCGUACGGCCCGAUAGGGCCUUCUCCAAGGAAGCCGGUUGAAAUUCGGCGCGGAUGGAUUCUCCACGGCAACGCGUAACGCUGAAUGUGGGGACGGUGGCACAGAGUCUUGGAAGGAGUUAUCUUUUCUUUUAGCAGGUCAACACCCUGGAAUUGGUUGUCUAGAGAUGGGGUAUCGUUCCGGAAAGAGGGGGCGGCUUUGUCCUCCCGUGCACUUGACGCCUUGAAAACCCGCAGGAAGGAAUAGUUUUCACGCCAAGUCAUUAUUAACCGCAGCAGGUCUCAAGGUGAACAACCUCUAGUUGAUGGGAAUAAUGUAGAUAGGGAAGUCGGCAAAAUAGAUCCGUAACUUCGGGAUGAAGGAUUGGCUCUGGGGUUGGUGGAUGGAAGCGUGGGGAGACCCAAGGGACUGGCGGCUGGGCAACUGGCGGCGGACCGCGGCGACGCAAUAAAACAAUCCACAUCAUCAACCGCCGAACUGGGUACGGACAAGGGAAUCUGACUGUCUAGAUAAAACAUAGCUUUGCGAUGGAUUUGUAAACAAUGUUGACGCAAAGUGAUUUCUUACUUCCGGUGCUCUGAAUGUCAAGUGAGAGAAAUUCAACCAAGCGCUGAAGCGGCGGGGUAACUAUGACUCUCUCUUAAGGUAAAUGCCUCGUCAUCUAGUGGUGACGCGCAUGAAUGGAUUAACAAAUUCCACUGUCCCUAUCUACUAUCUAGCGAAACCACAGCCAAGGGAACGGGCUUGGCAGAAUCAGCAGCGGAAAGAAGACCCUGUUGAGCUUGACUCUAGUUUAUUGAGAAGGGGCCUUAGGGGUGUGUAGAAUAGAGGUGGGGAGCUUCGGCGCCGGUGAAAUACCACUACCCUUAUCGUUUCUUUAUGCUUAUUUAGUAAGUGGAGUGGUUUAACAACCAUUUUCUAGCAUUCCUUUCAGGCUGAAGACAUUUGUUGUCAGGUGGGGAGUUUGGCUGGGCGGCAUCUGUUAAAGAUAACGCAGAUGUCCUAAGAGGACUCAAUGAGAACAGAAAUCAUGUAGAACAAAGGGUAAAGUCCCUUGAUUUUUGAUUUUCAGUGUGAAUACAAACCAUGAAAGUGUGGCUAUCGAUCCUUUAGUUGUUCCGGGUUUGAACCUAGGGUGCCAGAAAAGUUACUACAGGGAUAACUGGCUUGUGGCAGUCAAGCGUUCAUAGCGACAUUGCUUUUUAGUCUUCGAUGUCGGCUCUUCCCUAUCAUGCACCGAGCAGAAUUCGGUAAGCGUUAGUUGUUCACCCACUAAUAGAGACGUGAGCUGGGUUUGAACCCGUCGUGGAGACAGGUUAGUUUUACCCUACUGAUGGACUUGUUGCAAUAGUGGUGAACUUGGUACGAGGAGGAACAGUUCAUUCGGCGGAUAAUUGGUGUUUGCUGCUGUCUGAUCGGGCAAUGCGGCGGAAGCUACCAUCCGCUGGAUUAUGGCUGAACGCCUCUAGGGUCAGAACCCAUAGAAGUGAUGGUGGGGGUGGGAUGGAUAUGAAUAAGUAUCGCGGUGAUACCGGAGGGGAGUUUGGUGGAUAAAAUUGUCUGCUCUUCCUGGUUAUGGGUUACCCUUGU
This 3217-nucleotide ribosomal RNA is filed under the name Yarrowia lipolytica. RNAcentral's name for it is "26S ribosomal RNA". It matches the Rfam family "Eukaryotic large subunit ribosomal RNA". The record is from RNAcentral. Lineage: Eukaryota; Fungi; Ascomycota; Dipodascomycetes; Dipodascales.